GCCUGGGUGGCUCGGUUGGUUGAGCGUCUGACUGUUACUCAGGUUGUGAUCUCACCGUCGUGGGAUCGAGCCCCACCUCGGGCU
Molecule: non-coding RNA, 84 nt
Organism: Mustela lutreola (European mink)
Lineage: Eukaryota; Metazoa; Chordata; Mammalia; Carnivora; Mustelidae
Source: the annotation of a RefSeq genome assembly